RNAcentral lists this ribosomal RNA (274 nucleotides) under uncultured bacterium. RNAcentral's name for it is "partial 16S ribosomal RNA". It matches the Rfam family "Bacterial small subunit ribosomal RNA", at positions 523 to 796 of the family's 1533-position model. The record is from RNAcentral.
AUACGGAGGGUGCAAGCGUUACUCGGAAUCACUGGGCGUAAAGCGCGCGCAGGCGGAUUGGCAAGUUGGAUGUGAAAGCCUGCGGCUCAACCGCAGAACUGCAUCCAAAACUGUCAGUCUAGAGUCUGGGAGAGGUAGCUGGAAUUAGUGGUGUAGGGGUAAAAUCCGUAGAGAUCACUAGGAAUACCGAAAGCGAAGGCGAGCUACUGGAACAGUACUGACGCUGAGGCGCGAAAGCGUGGGGAGCAAACAGGAUUAGAAACCCCAGUAGUCC